RNAcentral lists this ribosomal RNA (496 nucleotides) under uncultured bacterium. RNAcentral's name for it is "partial 16S ribosomal RNA". It matches the Rfam family "Bacterial small subunit ribosomal RNA", at positions 28 to 506 of the family's 1533-position model. The record is from RNAcentral.
GAUGAACGCUGGCGGCGUGCCUAAUACAUGCAAGUCGAGCGAACAGACGAGGAGCUUGCUCCUCUGACGUUAGCGGCGGACGGGUGAGUAACACGUGGAUAACCUACCUAUAAGACUGGGAUAACUUCGGGAAACCGGAGCUAAUACCGGAUAAUAUAUUGAACCGCAUGGUUCAAUAGUGAAAGACGGUUUUGCUGUCACUUAUAGAUGGAUCCGCGCCGCAUUAGCUAGUUGGUAAGGUAACGGCUUACCAAGGCAACGAUGCGUAGCCGACCUGAGAGGGGGAGCGCCCCAACUGGAACUGGGACACGGCCCAACCCCCUAGGGGGGGCAGGAGGGGGGAAUCUUCCGCAUGGGGGGAAAGCCGGACGGGGCAACCCGGGGUGGGUGAUGAAGGUCUUCGGAUGGUAAAACCUUUUUAUUAGGGAAAAAAAAAUGGGUAAGUAACGUUGCACGUCUUGGCGGUACCAAAUCAGAAAGCCACGGCUAACUACGU